This 162-nucleotide ribosomal RNA is filed under the name Mycocalicium sp. MA 4790. RNAcentral describes it as "5.8S ribosomal RNA". It matches the Rfam family "5.8S ribosomal RNA". Rfam says of the family: 5.8S ribosomal RNA (5.8S rRNA) is a component of the large subunit of the eukaryotic ribosome. It is transcribed by RNA polymerase I as part of the 45S precursor that also contains 18S and 28S rRNA. The record is from RNAcentral. Lineage: Eukaryota; Fungi; Ascomycota; Eurotiomycetes; Mycocaliciales; Mycocaliciaceae.
AAACUUUCAACAACGGAUCUCUUGGUUCUGGCAUCGAUGAAGAACGCAGCGAAAUGCGAUAAGUAAUGUGAAUUGCAGAAUUCAGUGAAUCAUCGAAUCUUUGAACGCACAUUGCGCCCUCUGGUAUUCCGGGGGGCAUGCCUGUUCGAGCGUCAUUUCACC